Molecule: ribosomal RNA, 475 nt
Filed under: Diospilus sp. M123
Lineage: Eukaryota; Metazoa; Arthropoda; Insecta; Hymenoptera; Braconidae
Description: eukaryotic LSU rRNA
Source: RNAcentral
ACCGUUCAGGGUAAACCUGAGAAACCCAAAAGAUCGAAAGGGGAGAUUCAUCGUCAGCGUGUUUGGUAUAUGUGCAAAUUGCGAUAUAAUGUAUUUUCUUUAUGAAAAUGAUUUUUGUACGCUUUUGUAUCAUUUAAUUGCUAAAUAUCGUCGGCGUGCACUUCUCCCCUAGUAGAACGUUGCGACCCGUUGGGUGUUGAUCUACGACCUGGAUGGCAGCCUUUAAUGUCAUCUUUUAGAUGUUACAUUGAAGACCUCUGGUGUUUUCUGAUUAACUGCCCGGCGGUAUGAUAAAUGGUAUUGAGUCGCUUUUGAAUGCGUCAAAUCUAUCACAAGCCUAAUCAAUGUUUUAGUAGUUUACGGACCUAGUGCCGUCGCUUUACUUGAUGAGCUGUUAGUUGAUAGAGUACUUUGACAGACUCUUUGAAUAUAUAAAAUACCAGUUAGCGAUGCUACUGCUUUGGGUACUUCAGGA